ACAUGCCGCCAGAGAAUUACGAGAUAACUCUUAAAACUCAAAGGACUUGACGGUGCCCCACCCACCUAGAGGAGCCUGUUCUUUAAUCGACAUCACACGAUACACCUUACCGCUGCUAGCUAUUCAGUCUGUAUACCUCCGUCGCAAGCUUACCAUGUGAACGAUACAUAGUCAGCUAAAAGGUUCAUCACCAACACGUCAGGUCAAGGUGCAGCUUACGUAGCGGAAAGUAAUGGGCUACAAUCUCUCCAACAGAGCAUACGAAAUACUAUGUGCAACACUUGUCAAGAAGGCGGAUUUAGCAGUAAAAAGAAAUCAGAGAGUUCUUUUUAAUUAGGCCCUGGGGCGUGU
RNAcentral lists this ribosomal RNA (351 nucleotides) under Cophyla berara. RNAcentral's name for it is "partial 12S ribosomal RNA". It matches the Rfam family "Bacterial small subunit ribosomal RNA", at positions 864 to 1384 of the family's 1533-position model. Lineage: Eukaryota; Metazoa; Chordata; Amphibia; Anura; Microhylidae. The record is from RNAcentral.